Trichosurus vulpecula (common brushtail) is the source of this 374-nucleotide long non-coding RNA. RefSeq lists it as uncharacterized. NCBI's taxonomy places the organism in Eukaryota, Metazoa, Chordata, Mammalia, Diprotodontia, Phalangeridae. The record is from RefSeq and is a predicted model, not a curated record. The transcript has 3 exons.
AUUGCUAAACUGUGUGAACAAACAGGAAUUCUAUAGUGCCUGCUAUGUGCCAAGCCCUGUGUUAAGUCCUUUUCCAAAUACUUCAUUUGAUCGUCACCACAACCCUGAGAACAAGAAACCUCUGAGAGAUAAGGAAAUCAAGGCUCAGAGAAGUGCAAUGAAUAGAAUGGCAUUGUGGAAAGACUACUGGAAAACCUGGAGUUUAGUCUCAGCUUCACUGCUAACUAGCUCAGUCUUUGAGAAAUCAGUCAAGAGGCUCCACAUAUUUGGAAAUGGCUCCAAGCUGAAAGCUGCAUCAAAGGAAAUAAACAGUCCUGCUCUCUACUCUCAGCAAGCUUACAGUUUACAUGUCCCUCAAAGAGGCUGGGACUAUA